CACAAGCGGUGGAGCACGUGGUUUUAAUUCGAUGCAAACCGAAGAACCUUACCUGGGUUUGACAUGUACGUGUUACUGAGGUGAAAGCUGAGGGACCACAUCUUCGGAUGUGGAGCGUACACAGGUGCUGCAUGGCUGUCGUCAGCUCGUGUCGUGAGAUGUUGGGUUAAGUCCCGCAACGAGCGCAAUCCCUGCAUUCAGUUGCCAUCGGUGAGGCCGGGCACUCUGGAUGGACUGCCGGCGACAAGCCGGAGGAAGGUGGGGACGACGUCAAGUCAUCAUGGCCCUUAUGUCCAGGGCGACACACGUGCUACAAUGGCCGGCACAGCGGGAAGCGAAGGGGCGACUCUGAGCGGAUCCCUUAAAGCCGGUCCCAGUUCGGAUUGCAGUCUGCAACUCGACUGCAUGAAGUUGGAAUCGCUAGUAAUCGUGGAUCAGCCAAGCCGCGGUGAAUACGUUCCCGGGCCUU
Molecule: ribosomal RNA, 469 nt
Filed under: uncultured Thermovirga sp.
Lineage: Bacteria; Thermotogati; Synergistota; Synergistia; Synergistales; Thermovirgaceae
Description: bacterial SSU rRNA
Rfam family: Bacterial small subunit ribosomal RNA
Source: RNAcentral